UCGAGUAACUACGUUGUCAUGGCGGGUGGAUCAAAAACUAGUAACCCAGAUCUCGAAGAUUUUUUACGGCGUAUUGACGAAUUAGAGUCAGUAGUGAAAGGCGACGAGUCUCAUGAUGCAGUGAAGGAGGGUAGUUCCUCCACCGGUCCAGGAAGUUCACCAAACCGCCGGCAGCAGCAGAGCCCUGUUGACCGUACAGUCAUCAACAAAGCAGCUUUUAAGGAUGAGACAGCUAUUAAGGGCAUUGCUGGAGGAAGUAAUCCUGCAUUGGAUCAAGAUGGUUUCUUGAGGUCCAUGGAAGCGGACGCCAAUGAGCGCGCUAUGAAGCGCAAGAAGAGGAGAGAGGAGGCCACCAUCUUUAAGAAUCAGGGAAAUGAGAAAUUCAAGAUGGGCAACUUCCUUCGAGCCGUGGAGCUAUACACACAAGGUCUGGAGCGCUCGAAAGAUUUCACAAUACUGUAUACUAACAGAGCUCAGGCCCUCAACAAACUGUCACGUUUUGAGGAAGCUAAGGAAGAUUGCCAUACAGCCUUGCAGCUUGAACCCAACCACGUUAAGGCUAGAAUACAUCUUGGGAAGGCAUAUCUUGGACUGAAGGAAUACGACACUGCUGUCAAGACGUACCAAGAAAUACUAGAGAUCGACCAGAAUCAAGAAAAGACUGUCAAAGGGUAUAUCGCUGCAGCUCGCUUAGCAGAGUCCUUAGCAACGUCGGCGCUGGAAGCUGAGAGACUGUUCAACGAAGGUGAUACAAAAGCAACCGGGGUAGUUCAGAUCCUGUCCAAGCUAAAACAACCACAUCAACCCAUCCCAUAUUAUGCCGGGGGAUUCAGAAUUCUGUGUACUGCUAUAAAUGACUGUUCAUCGCAAGCACUGUUCAGACAGUAUGGAGGCUUUCACCUUUUAACAAAUGUCACAGCAAUAAGCCAAUGCCUUGAUGACGCAAUAACAUGCAAUGAUCUUAGUUCAGAUGUCGAAGACCUCAUUUGUGUGAUCCUUGAAAUUUUGAUAACUGCUGUUACGGAUAACAUCGAAAAUUCUGCUUUUCUGGUGAAUCUUAGUGUUUUUCCAUCCCUCGUUCUUGGUCUGCUUAGACAAAAAUCAGAAGGGGGGCUGCGACAUCGAUGUGUUUUGAUGCUCUCCACGUUGUCCAAAAACGCAGAGGGACAAAGUGGAAUUGUUAAAAAUGUUGACCAACAGGAGAUGCUAUCUCUACUAGUGACUUUCAUCCAAUCGUCUUCUCCACUGGAAGUACGCACCACAGCUUGUAGGCUUCUGAGAGAUCUAGCAACAAACAAAGAGUUUCAAUCGAAGUUUCAAUAUGGAGCCGACACUCAUUUAAUCCCUGCUUUUACAAGACUUUUGGUGAACACUGCUCCUUCCGAAGACUCUUUACUUAUGUGCUGCCUUGCAAUGAUGGACAGUAUGGCACUUAACCCAAUAAUCCGUCAAGCAAUGUAUUGUAACGCUCCGUUUGUGCAGGCUAUCGUCAAAAUCAUUGAGACUUAUUCUCGGAAACAAGAGAUGGAGCUGCAGAGAAACGUCCUCUUAUAUGUGAUGAACCUUCUCCUUAACAUGUGCGUUAAGUGGACCCCCAGAUUUGAUGAAAAGAGAACCCCAUUACCCAUAGAGGGUAAGGUACUUUUCCCAACAUUACUGUUCUUGCUGGACAGUGGACAAGAAAACAUCAGAAAACGUUCCCUUGGAAUACUCAGUCAUGUCUUACCUUUCGGUGAUGAGAGUCUAGCAGAUGUAGCAAAAGGAAACUACAUUCCAAAGAUAAUCAGGGUCAUGAGGGGUGGGGACCUGACAUGUGGCCACUAUGGCAUUAAGUGUCUUGCAGUUCUAACACAGAGGAGUGAUAAAGCUAGGAACGAUAUGGUCAGAACAGAUCCAGAACUGCAAUACACCCUGGGGCUUCUGAAGACAGAUAGUGAUGUAAUGAUUGGCAAUGCUGCUCUAGUGCUGAGCCACUGUACACAGGUAGCUGGAUUGAGUAGCUCUCUUGUACACACAGACAUCAUUAAGACGCUUCUAUCCGAAACAGACUCCUCGGACGAGUCUGUUAAAAAGAACUGUGCUAUCGCAGUAGCCAAACUGGCGACAACUGAUCAAAGACAUCUUGAAGAAUUGAGAAAACUCGGUGGAAUUGGAAUCCUUCACUCUUGCAUGAAAUACAUCAAAUAACAGUUAGAGGCUCAUGGUCGUCUUUCCCUGCCUGGUGUUCACAAAGUGACAGUUGCUUCGAAAUCUGGGAGACAGACCAAGACCAAGGGCCAGCAGCCCAAAACCAAGGCUGGGACCAGGAGUGUUUUCAACACCGAGAUCGCAAGACCUCACGCUUAA
RNA transcript from Asterias rubens (European starfish), 2346 nucleotides. It is a transcript of the gene named tetratricopeptide repeat protein 12-like, with no coding region annotated. The record is from RefSeq and is a predicted model, not a curated record. Lineage: Eukaryota; Metazoa; Echinodermata; Asteroidea; Forcipulatida; Asteriidae. The transcript is spliced from 18 exons.